UACGUAGGGUGCUAGCGUUGUCCGGAUUUAUUGGGCGUAAAGGGCUCGUAGGCGGUCUGUCACGUCGGGAGUGAAAACCCAGGGCUCAACCCUGGGCCUGCUUCCGAUACGGGCAGACUAGAGGUAUGCAGGGGAGAAUGGAAUUCCUGGUGUAGCGGUGAAAUGCGCAGAUAUCAGGAGGAACACCGGUGGCGAAGGCGGGUCUCUGGGCCGAUAUUGACGCUGAGGAGCGAAAGCGUGGGGAGCAAACAGG
RNAcentral lists this ribosomal RNA (253 nucleotides) under uncultured bacterium. RNAcentral's name for it is "partial 16S ribosomal RNA". It matches the Rfam family "Bacterial small subunit ribosomal RNA", at positions 524 to 776 of the family's 1533-position model. The record is from RNAcentral.